Unclassified non-coding RNA from Ursus americanus (American black bear), 86 nucleotides. The record is from Ensembl. NCBI's taxonomy places the organism in Eukaryota, Metazoa, Chordata, Mammalia, Carnivora, Ursidae.
UGGUGCUGUGCUCUGACUUACUAACCCAGCCCCUACUAACCUCGUUUUCUCUUCUUACUAACCCCCGGCCCUGCCGAGCUCUGGGC